CGGCGGACGGGUGAGUAAUGCCUAGGAAUCUGCCUAUUAGUGGGGGACAACGUUUCGAAAGGAACGCUAAUACCGCAUACGUCCUACGGGAGAAAGCAGGGGACCUUCGGGCCUUGCGCUAAUAGAUGANCCUAGGUCGGAUUAGCUAGUUGGUGAGGUAAAGGCUCACCAAGGCGACGAUCCGUAACUGGUCUGAGAGGAUGAUCAGUCACACUGGAACUGAGACACGGUCCAGACUCCUACGGGAGGCAGCAGUGGGGAAUAUUGGACAAUGGGCGAAAGCCUGAUCCAGCCAUGCCGCGUGUGUGAAGAAGGUCUUCGGAUUGUAAAGCACUUUAAGUUGGGAGGAAGGGCAGUAAGUUAAUACCUUGCUGUUUUGACGUUACCGACAGAAUAAGCACCGGCUAACUUCGUGCC
RNAcentral lists this ribosomal RNA (417 nucleotides) under uncultured bacterium. Its description in RNAcentral is "bacterial SSU rRNA". It matches the Rfam family "Bacterial small subunit ribosomal RNA", at positions 96 to 509 of the family's 1533-position model. The record is from RNAcentral.